UGGACGCGCCGCUAGUGAACCGGUUAUGACGCCAGUCGUACGGCCGGGUAGCCACGCGCGGACGGGAUAAGCGCUGAAAGCAUCUAAGCGCGAAGCCUGCCUCAAGAUGAGAUCUCCUUGUAGGGUCGUUGUAGACGACGACGUUGAUAGGCCACAGGUGUAAAGCCGGUGACGGCAAAGCCGAGUGGUACUAAUCACCCGAGAGUUGACGUU
RNAcentral lists this ribosomal RNA (213 nucleotides) under Butyricimonas hominis. Its description in RNAcentral is "partial 23S ribosomal RNA". It matches the Rfam family "Bacterial large subunit ribosomal RNA", at positions 2698 to 2925 of the family's 2925-position model. Lineage: Bacteria; Pseudomonadati; Bacteroidota; Bacteroidia; Bacteroidales; Odoribacteraceae. The record is from RNAcentral.